GGGAGCUCAGCAGUGGAGCAUCUGCCUUAGGCCCAGGGCCUGAUCCUGGAGACCCGGGAUGGAGUCCCACGUCGGGCUCCCUGCAUGGAGCCUGCUUCUCCCUCCUCCUGUGUCUCUGCCUCCCUCUCUCUGUGUCUCCCAUGAAUAAAGAAAUAAAAUAUUUAAAAUAAAAAAAUAAAGACUGCCUAUUCUAAGGCCCCUCCUGGAGGAAAUUCAAACCCUGGGCCUUCUUCAGGCAGGGCCACUCAGGUGGACUCAUACUUUGUUUCGGCUGAAAAAAGAAAAUCCUGCAAAGAAAACUAAUAGAACAAUCUGUUCUGCCAUUGUUGGGUCUCUGUUCUAGCCCAGGCAUGGGAACUGUCAGAACUGGAGUUGCUAAAUAGAGCCCUAUAAACUUUUUCUGAUAGUGCGUAGUAAAAUGUAUCACAAUUUACACGAUUCACUUCAGAGAACCAGAAGUCAGAGAUGAUCACACUGGUUACAGAAAAUGUUUCCUUGUCUUAGGACGGCGAAUGAAAUUAUAAAUUACAAAUCGCACCCUUGCAUGUUAUAGUGGUUGUGUAAGGGCCAGGCCCUACCCCUACCUCCCUGACACUCCCCAACCCUUCUCUUUGUUCUGCCCAUAGGAGGUAGAAAGGACUUUUCAAGUAGUCUCCCCUCCCAAGCAGGCCAUUUCGAAUUGUAACACCCCAGUCCUAAUGCUCACUACUCACAUAUUUUUGUGUUUAUGUUACAUGUUUAUCUUCCCAAUGAGGGGAAGGAUCUUUGUCCUGCUAAAUCAGCACAUAGUAGGUGCUCAGUAAGUAUUUGCUUAAAUGCUCCCCCAUUUACCUUUGUCUUUGUUGUAAGAUUGUAUCUUGCAAGUGACUUGGAACUGACAAUAGUUUCAGUAACCUGUAGCUCCAUAAAUAGUUGACUAGGUUUUCCCAAGGGGGAGAGGAGUGCUACCUGCAGCUACCCUUUGUUCUCACCUUGGAUCGGUUUUCAUUCUGAGAAUUGAGAAAAUGAACACUACUGUAGUCACAAUUACCUUGUUUUCCAGAAUAAUUGGAAUAUGUUUCUCCUGAGAUGGUGACAUCCUUUGGGGAAUAAACUGCUGUCUAGGUAGUUGAAAGGCAAAGCAAGGAAAGGUCCCUGGGAACGCGUUGCCUGACGAGGAUUGAUACCCAGCAACCUCUGAAGGUCUGGCGACCUGACCAUUGUCUUCAAACAGCCAUCUUCUCACCCCUAAUGCUCCCGAUGUCCUUCCUACCCACCCCACCCCCAACAAAAGCCCUCCUGGAGCUUCCCAUCACCAAGACUAAAAUCCAAAAUGGUCUUGUGAACUAUGAAGCCACAGGUGAUUGGGCCCCUGAGCACUCCUGGCAGGGCGCACACCUUACCAGGCCUGCCUCUGCCUACUGCUAGAACCUGCCAAACCAGCUCCUCCUCAGGGCCUCUGUGCUGCUGUUCCCUCCUCUAGUCCUGGAGAUAAGCACCUACCUGACUCACUGCUUUUAGGCCUCAGGUGUCUCUUGGGUAGUAUCUACCCUGACUGUGCCGUUUAAAUUAAGUCCCUCUCCCCGCCAGCCUAGCAUUCAUCUCCCCUUCCCCCUUUGUUUUUCUUUUUUUUUAAUUUAUUUAUUUAUGAUAGUGACACACAGAGAGAGAGAGAGGCAGAGACAUAGGCAGAGGGAGAAGCAGGCUCCAUGCACCGGAAGCCCAACGGCACGAUCCUGGAUGGCACCUGCCUUUGGCCCAGGGCACGACUCUGGGAUCGAGUCCUAUGUUGGGCUCCCUGCAUGGAGCCUGCUUCUCCUUCCGCCUGUAUCUCUGCCCCUCUCUCUCUCUCUUUCUGUCUAUCAUAAAUAAAUAAAUAAAAUCUUUAAAAAUAAAAAAAAAUAAAAGGAUGAGUACAAAAGAUAUAUGUAUAAAAUAUCUCAAUACUUUUUACACUGAUUAAAUGCUGAAAUGACAGUAUUUUGAAUAUAUUAAGUAGAAUGUGUUAUUAAAAUUAAUUUCAUCUGCUCUGCUUUUUAGGCUUUUUAAGAUUUUAUUUAUUCAUGAGAGACACAGAAACAGAGACACAGGCAGAGGGAGAAGUAGACUCCCUGCAGGAGCGCGAUGCAGGACUCGAUCCCAGGACCCAGGGAUUACGACCUGAGCCAAAGGCAGAUGCUCAACCACUGAGCCACCCAGGGAUCCCUCUUUUUAGCCUUUUUAAAGUGGCUACUAGAAAAAGCAAGUUUGUGACCCGUAUUAUAUUUCUAUCAGUACUGAUACAGAAGUACAGUAAAUAUUUAUCAAAGGAAAAGACUUUUUAAAGGCUUACUGAAAGAACUGCUCUAUUAAGGCACAUAAAGACACAGAAGAACCUUAAAUACAUAUGACUAAGAGAAAGGAGCCAGUCUGGAAAGUCCACGUACCAUAUGGUGUCCUGGAAAAGGCAACAGUGUCGCAGUAGGUGGUUGCCAAGGGCUUACAGGGCGCAACUGGGAAUAAUAGGAGUGGAAUGCGGGGGAAGUUUUAGGGGAUUUGAAAUGAUUCUAAUACUAUAAUUGUGGGUACAUAUUACAUAUUUGUCAAAACCCAUGGAAGUGUACAAGACAGGGGCCCCCAGGGGGGCUCAGCGGUUUAGCGUCUACCUUUGGCUUAGGGCGUGGUCCUGGGGUCCUGGGAUCGAGUCCCACAUCGAGCCCCCUGCAGGGAGCCUGCCUCUCCCUCUGCCUGUGUCUCUGCCUCUCUGUGUCUCUCAUGAAUAAAAAAAAUCUUAAAAAAAAAAGUGUACAAG
RNAcentral lists this long non-coding RNA (2770 nucleotides) under Canis lupus familiaris (dog). Its description in RNAcentral is "lncRNA (ENSCAFG00000054665.1, ENSCAFG00845006535.1)". The record is from RNAcentral. Lineage: Eukaryota; Metazoa; Chordata; Mammalia; Carnivora; Canidae.